UUUGUCUAUGCAGCACCCAAGUGUCCGUAGUUUCGCUGAGAGCACCGGGGUUAUCGUUAUAUUUUCCUCGCGAGAGCGCGGCGCGCAACCCUAAGCCGCCGUUGCCGAUCAACCCCGCCGGACGUGCUCCGACGCCCCGCUGCCGCUAUCAUCUCUCCUCUCUCUUUCUCUCGCUGGGGCUGAUGAGAAAGGUGGCCCAAAAUUGAAGUGAAGAUCGAUUUUAUCAUUUCCCCUUAAGAAAUUGAAGGCGUUAUCGUCUAUUGUGACCUAGAAACAGCUAAUUUUUGAUAAUUUUGAUUGAAACAUUAUGCAUCAAGAAUGCUUAAAAGCAUGUACUCCUACCAAGAAAUUAUAUAAUAGUUGGAGGCUUGGGUUACACAAAGGCAAACCUCCAGAUUUUUCUGUUGGCUUUAUCUUGAGUGGCAAUAAAUAUGAGAACCAGGGUUCGAUCCUAACCUAUCUCCAUUGGAAAGGCACAAUCAUAUAUACAUGCUUCUAAUGGAACAUCACUUCAAACGUGUAAAAGAGUGGCUUAUGGCAUGAUUUGAGUCAGUACUGGAGGUGGAGCAUGACGUGACCAAGAAAGAAGGUGACAUGGUGGAUCUUACUGCAAGAUGAUGGUUUUGACAGGAAUGGAGGCGAGGCAUUAGAUCUCAUGCAACAGAUGAUUAGCCUAAUCUCGUUGAAUCAGAGCAAGAUGGAUGGAUCUGCUAUGGCCUUAAAGAGCCGUCUCAAAAUACUCUGCUCGACUGGCUCCUAUAUGUUGACUGAUAAUGGAGGAUCUUGCAGCAAGAGAAGUGGUUUAAGCAUCUCUCUUUCUAGUCCUAAUGGUCAUGUGCUUGGUGGUGGUGUUGGUGGAUUGCUCAUGGCUGCAACCCCUGUACAGGUGAUAGUGGGAAGUUUCAUGUAGAGUGGAUGAACAGGGAAGGACAAAACCAAGACCAGCCAAGAAUCAAAUGUUGAACCUGAGAAUCCAAUGGAGUAUAAAAAGAACACACCAUCCGGUGCGCCGCCCAACUAAAAUCUCACCUCCUCUGUCCUGGGAGGAUGGCCUGGUUUGAGGCUAAGGGACAUGUGGAAUGCUCACAUUGAUAUUGAGUUGAAGCUCAUGCUGGUUAUUUGUACCUAGACAGGUGGUGUGUAUAUGUGGCACUUGUAGGAUGAUGGGGAGCCUUAGGAAAGUAGCAACAUUAUGAUUUCAAUUGAAAUGGUAUGUAUUAGUAUGUAAAAUCUGGCACAUUGCUGUGCAUACCAUCAAAAAUUCAAGGGCUAAUAUAUGCAAAGGCAAUUUUAUUGCUGGCACCAUCUCAAACAAGAGCAGAUUAGAGACUCAGAGUUCGAUCUUACUCACCUCCACCUGCGAAGCUGAUUUAAUGGCAACGGUGCCACAAUCAUUUUCUGCAAUUCAAGGAUUUAUAUGUUUACCAAUAAGACUGGUUGUCGAGACAUAGAUUCAUGUUAAGGUAACAAAACUUGCUCAUUUUACAGUCAAAGAGGGCAAUAACCUCUACCUCUAGUGUGAAUGAUGGUAUGUGACAGAUUUGAUAGGCAGCCAGAAAGAAUCUUGAUGAGAUUUUUCAUUUUCAAUUUAAACCAACGUCUACAGGGAAUUGGGUGCAGGCAAUAAUUGCUUAGUUAAUACAAAUUUUCCUUGUACCUUGGUUGUGGAAUUUGUCACUACUAAAGGUUGUAAAUGAUUCAUGGUCAUUUUAUUUUCCAUAGAAAUUUCCUGAGCUCACCUUUACCUAAUGUAUGAUAUUUGGAUUCUAAGCCUUCCUCAAAUAGGAUCCAAAACUAGUUUUCGCAUUAGCUCUAAACAAAUGGUGAAUGCAAGAAAAUAUAGACUUUGUUACCAACUUCUAGAUGUGAAAAUAAUGAGCUGAAAUUAGUACUAAGCACCUCUGUCUUGGCUCAUCAUUUGAAAGGGUUAUCUGAGCUGAAGUCAAGCUUGACAAUAUACGUUUGGCCUUGGUUCAUUUGUUAAACAAACUGUGCUUGAAUGAGCCGGUUAUUGAGCUGAACUGAGCUUUUAUUUACUUUUGCAAGUCCAAUGUGUUCUGGCUCAUUCAGCCAUUAGUUUAAUUUUUAAAAGAAACAUGGUGCUUAAUAAAAUAUAGAUGAACCAAAAAAAAAUCGAAAAAGGAAAAUAACUAAAUCUAAGCCUAUUCUGAUACCUAUCUAUAUUUGAAUUUCUCAACAAGAUGCUCAUAUUGGUCUGUUGCAAUAAUAAACUAAUGAGUAUUGAAGGAUCAGAAUUUCCACUGGAAGAUGGUUUUGCAGUUAAGACUUGGUCCACAUUACGAUUAAAGGUAAGCCUACUUGAGAUGAUGAAAGUUGGAAAAAUAAUCACAUUAAGUAACACUACCAUAUUGGGAUCCCUAAAAACCAAGCCAUGUUUAACGUUGUUUUCUCCUUUCAAUCUGAAGCAAAUGGUGGUUUAUUGUUUGUAGAGAUUGUUAAAGGGAGGUAUGCCUUUGGCUGAUGAAUAAAGGAAUCCAGCAUUAUUAAGACUUGCCACUAGAAGAAUGCAGCUAUAUGAUCAUGUAUAUCAUGGCCAUCAUAUAAUGCCAUCAGGGGAGCUUUUGGCAGGAGAAGUAUUCACCAAACUCCUUGAUGGAGGACUGUUGGCAGUCAAGGCUUUCUGCGAGGGACCCUACACGAGGACAACUAAAAGGUCGGAUUUUCACCAUGGAUGUGCUAAGAUGACAUGCUGAUGAAGCUUGCCAUGGUACUUAUGGGAGAGACAAAAAAGUUCGAGAAGGUAAAAAAUUGCAGCUGCAAUGUUGUUGACAUAUGCAUAUGGUACUUGUGGAAAGGAAUAUUGGGAAGUAUUGUCACCUUUAGGAAAGACCCAUGAUCUUAAAAAAUUGGCACAGCAAUUUUGAUGUAUACAUAUGAUACUUGUGGGGAGGCUGGUCACAAUGCAGUCAUCAGAAGAAGAUCCAAAAAUGUAAAAGAUUGCUGCAAUAUCUGUUGUGCGUGUCUAAUGGUACUCGUGGAGAUGACUCCUGAGAAGUAUAGUCGGCCCCUCUUAGGGGAUACAAGAAUGUGAGAUUUUUACUGCAAUGUUUGUUGCCAUUUAUCUUUUUUUUGUAUGUGUGUUUUCUUUUCAAUUUCUGUACUUACGAUGGAAUUUGAUGUUACAAUAUUGUUUAUCUGUUCUCUAGCUUGAGACCUAAUUAGUAAUCAAAUCAUUUUACUCGCCAGCA
Molecule: non-coding RNA, 3209 nt
Organism: Phoenix dactylifera (date palm)
Lineage: Eukaryota; Viridiplantae; Streptophyta; Magnoliopsida; Arecales; Arecaceae
Source: RefSeq, a predicted model, not a curated record